Molecule: microRNA precursor, 122 nt
Filed under: Marmota monax (woodchuck)
Lineage: Eukaryota; Metazoa; Chordata; Mammalia; Rodentia; Sciuridae
Source: RNAcentral
AGAGGAAUAGCUGGGUCAAAUGGUGGUUCCAUUUAUGGAUGUUGAUUUUAUAUCCAGAUUUCCAAGGAAUCGCCAUACUGUUUUCCAAAUUGGCUGCACCAAUUUGCAGUCCCACCAGCAAU